This is a long non-coding RNA of Gallus gallus (chicken), 9285 nucleotides long. RefSeq lists it as uncharacterized. The record is from RefSeq and is a predicted model, not a curated record. NCBI's taxonomy places the organism in Eukaryota, Metazoa, Chordata, Aves, Galliformes, Phasianidae. The transcript is spliced from 2 exons.
GGGACAGUUAACUAUAGACUCAAGACCAGAUCUUCUGUGGAUGUAAGCCAGCAUAGUCACCACUGAGGUCAGCUGAGCAGAAACAGCUUGUGAAUUUAUCAUAGGAACUAUAGGAAAAUUCUCAUUGGAAGGGACCUCCUGCAGGAGGCCUCAGGUCCAACCUCCUGCUCAAAGUACGGCUAGCCCUAAGGUCAGAACAAGUUGCUCACGGCUUUUUCCAUUUGGGUUUCGAAAGAUUUCAAGGACAGAGGUGGCACUGUCUUUUGGAACAAUUAAGUCCACUGCCUGGCUGUCCUCAUGGGCAAAAGCUUCUCUUUAUGUCCAAUUUGAACCUCUCUUCUUCUACUUGAGUUCACCAUCUCUCACCUUCCGCCUGUGCAGUGCCUUGAAGAGAGUGGCUCCAUCUUCCUGAUGGUUCUCCUAGAUGCUGGGGGGCUUUUAUUUCCUUCUGAACCACUUCUUCUCCAGUCUGGGUAAGAGCAGCUCCCUCCUGUGCCUCAUGCUCCAUGUGCUGUCUCCCUCUGUGUCAUCUCUGGAAGAAAACUUGGAUAUUCUUGAGUGACUAUGAUUCCUGAGCUUCCACUCUGGGACAGCGGAAAGAUGAACAGUGGAAAGACCCAUCAAAAGAUGGCCAUGGUGUGUUCAACUCUUCUCCAAAGAGGAGCGUGGAGACUGCAGCCUCUACACCAACAAAGCUACAGUCCAUCACUUGUCACUUCUGCAAGUUUAGGAUUUCAGGCACACAAAAAAAAAAAUACACUGAAAAAAAAAAAAUCCAAAUUUUUUGUCCAAAACUUUGCCAUGCAAUUGGUGAGACCAAAACCAAAAAGCAGCUGCAGCAGACGAUGUAUCUGCUGGCAUAACAAAAAAAGAAUUAAUGCUGAAAGUAGCAAAAAGAAAACCAGAGCACAGGAUUCUGUACAUUCUACUUUAGGAACUGAAGAUGAUAAGAGGCUUUCAGAGCUCCGGGACAGCAUUUCUGGCAUUACUAUUAUCAUUGAACAUUUUGUAUGAAGUAGUUACAGCAGACUGGAGGAGAACGGGUCAAGGGUUGCAAAUCUUGCUGUCAGUACUGCGGCCCUGCUCCUGCUUCCAGUGAAGAGAAGAGGACAUCUCCCGAGGCACACUGGUGAAAAUAUAUGAGUUGACACUUUAAAAAUUAAGCCUCCUGGAAUUGCUGUGUCGAUUAUUAUCCCAGAGACAGCUUAAGCGAUUUGCGCACAGUCACACAGUGAAUUGGGGCUGCGCCAGGAAUAGAAGACAGGGCUCCUGGUCCCUGGUCUUGCUCUCUUAUUCACAUCCCCAGAUAUGCCAUAAUCCACAUGGGGAAGAAAAUCCAAAAUCAAAGAUUGAUCUUACUUCCUAAGGCAGCUGCCUACCACUCUGCAGCACAGAUAUGGAGUCAAAUGUUCGUGCUCUGGCUGAGCCAUAUAACCCAUUGAUUUCAAAGGAAUCACUCACCUGAUGGCUUUUGGCUUCACAGUACUCAACAAAUCAUUCAAAUCCUUAGAGCAUCAAAGUUUGCUGGGAGAAGAGUCUGAUAGGUAGUCUACAAUUGGUGGCUUGAGCGAUUUCAGCUAAAUCUAUCAUAUAAAAUUACAGUCGUGUGCUACUAAUGGGUUCUUCACUCAUUAACAUGCAAAGGAAAAUAACUUUGCUCAAGCUCUCGGUAUCACCUGGCUGCGUGUAGCAGAGAGGUUAAAUACAGAACAGACCAUACUUGUAAGAAGAUUAAUGCAUACAACAGGGAUAGCAGCGGGCUUCUGCUGGCUCUAAUCUGGUAUUUGACUGGGACAGGGAGAGAGGGAAGGAAACUCUAAGCCAGUUAAAGUAGUGGAUUAUUGAUGACAGAGGAUUCACAGCUGAUAGGGAAACUGGAGUGAGCAGGCAGCAAGGCUGAAACACAGGGCAGCACACAAAGCAAAAAGAAGACACUGGAUUUAGACACAAGCUGUCUAUCAGUAUCUAAAGGAGGACUAUAAGAAAGAAGGAGACAGACUGCAUAGCAGGGUCUGAUGUGAUAGAACAAGGAGAAAUGGUUUCAAACUGAGGCAGGGGGAAGAUUCAGACUGCAUAUAAGAAAAGAAGUAUUUUCCAGUGAGGGUGAUAAGGCACUGGCACAGGUUACCCAGAGAGGUGGUGGCUGCCCCAUUCCUGGGCGUAUCUAAGGUCAGAUUGGACAGAGCUCUGAGCAACCUGAUCAAGUUAUAGGUGUCCCUGCUUGUUGCAGGGGAGUUGGGCUACAUGAUUUUUAGGGCUCCUUCCAACUUAAACAAUUCUAUGAUUCUAUGAUUUUACAAGAGAAGGUCUAACACACGUGAAAGAAAACUGGUUGGAACAAUGAUAUGAGCUUUCAAAGAGUACAGGACUGGGGAGCAGUAAAAUUACAUCUUACGUAUAAAGGUAAAAAAAAAAUCACACCAAGCUCCUUGAAGAGGGAUUUGAAUUUGGCCGAGUAAAUGAUCCGAGAAGGGAAAAAGUCUUGCAAGACUUCCCUGCCUUCUUCUGCUCAGAUAAACACUGGGUGGAGAACAGCACUGCAAAUCACUAAUAAUUACACAAACUCUGGCAAAGGCAUCCAAGUAGAUAAUGUUAUCUUGGGAAACAGGCAGCUGGGAGUGGGCUGGGGUUGCAGAGACCUUCUGCACCACAGCUGCUAAUCAGGAUAACCCCUGGCAGUCAUUUUGAAUGAUGGAUAAUUUGAAAGAAAUCGACUUUGUGAAAGUUCUGGAGCAAUGUUUAGUAGGGACAUUUGAUUCUUUUUGUUUGAUCACUCAGCUCUGAGCAGCACUCCAUGGUAUCAAGAAUAGGUGACAGCUUUGAAGGGAGGAGUGGAAGCCAGUUACCUCCACCGGCAAGCAGUUUGGCACAGCAGAAUGGUAAACUCACAGUUGGGAAUAGUUUUCCUAUUAUACCUGGUGGACUGGGAGGAACUGUUAAUAUAAUUUCUUUAGUAUACUUCUAGGCAAUAAAAUCAUUGCACUUCCAGGGUUUCUGUCCUGGGUUAGAUUUUGUUAAAACCAGCACUGCUUGUACUUCUUAGCUUAUAAAUUUGUUCCUGUACCUUCUUUGUCUGUCUCACAGAUCCUGGCGAAGCUACAGGUAUGACUGAGCUGGCGUCUGUCUUCCAAGUUGUUGAUAUUUUAGUAUGAAUUUCCAUUUGGGGUGUGAAUAGGACAACUUGCCUGUAGUGAUGUGUUAAAAAAUCAUACUACAGCGUAGGUCAUGAUUAAGUUACAGUAAAAUUACAGACUGUCUAGAAGAAAAUGAGCAAUCUCAGCUGUGAAUACUGUAGAAUGCAUUAUCUCCCAGAUUUAUUUAUUUAUUUCAGUACUGCCUGUUUAAAAUUCUGCAGGGCUCCUUGAGCUGUAUAGGUGCUAAUCUAAGUCUGAAAAGGAAAAAAAAAAUGUAUGUUGAAUUGUAUUUGUGCAUAGAAUUUGCAAAAUGAGACUGGAUUUUGAUUCACUUAUUUUUGUUGAGACAGUCAGUACUGCUAAUAGUUUAUUCUUCAGAAUAAGUUAAAGAAACUAAAAUUUAAAUGGCUUGGAAGCCUGAUUUCCAUUUCGACAAUGGCUUUCUUAACGUACAGCCUUCUACUGAUUUUCUUAGGGAAAUAUAUUGGCUCUGUAGGUACUACAGUUUAAAAGCAACUCAUUUUCUUUUAUCUUUAAUCAAUUUGUAAUCAACUUAGAUACACAGAAAUAAACUAGGUUUAGAGACUUAAAUGUUUAUUGAGCAUCCACAUGUCUAGCUAUUUGCCUAUGCUGCCUUAAAGCUACAUGUGUAGGUAAACUACCCUGAGAUGUGUGUAGCCAAAUGCUGGUGUUUUUUUGAGCAUCCUAACUACAGAUGCCAUUUGUCUGCUAGCUUGCUCCAUGGCCUGGUGUGGAGCUGCUGCAGUUGGAAGAAGAACCCCACCUCAUCACAACCUCAUUUCAGGUCACUAUAGGGAGUGAUAAGGUCUCAGCUGAACCUCCUCUUUUCCAGAUUGAACAAUCCCAGUUCUCUCAGCUGCUCCUUGUAGCACUUGUAUGCGUAAGAUAUACUCCUAAAUUUAGUAUGAAUAAGAAACCGCCAAAUUUUGCCCUUCUGGGAGCUCUUAUAAGCUAUUGUUCAUUGCUCAUGAUCCUCUCUUGGUUGGAAGAGACACAUAACCUUAGAGAUUACCUCUUGAGCAGUGGGGGGUCUGGGGCCACCAGAGGCAUGGUAGCACAAAAUAAGUGAUGACAGGAACAGUAAAAUCAAAAUUCUCAUCUUUUUGUGUAUGAGCAUGAAGUUCAUUGACAAAUUAAUAGAGCCUUCCAGUUGGUCAUCAACAAGCUGAUGGUAUUUGUUGAACAUUUACUCUAAAGGGUUCAGUGCCUGAGCGCAGGCCAUGUCCCUCUUAUUUAGAAAUGCAGACGCUCUCUCUGAGGGCCAGAGGUGCUGGGAAGGUCCAUGGCACCUGGAAACCAGCACAGGUAGCUUGGUUGCCAGGAGAAUGCUAAAACAUACAUUGGGAUGCACGCAGCUCGCUUGCAACCUUUUGGCUCUCGAUGCCCGCAAAUAUUGACUCCCUGUUGCCUGCAACAGGAACAGUGGGAAAGGCUAAAUCAAUUGUUGUAAUUGUCACGGUCCCCCAAGACAGACAAGUGUGUACAGCAGGAAUUAAGUAUAGUAGGUAAGACCUGGGUGGCUAUAAGUAAAACACAACCUCUCCAGCUUUGCCAAUGUCAUAAAAGGUGCAAUUGUACCUGGGAUCUGCACAGUAUAUGAUGCUGGGCCACUGUUAGCAUUUUCCUGGUUGAGUCAUGGGCAUAUCUACAAAAGGGAAGAGCUACCCAUCCCUGCUAGGGAGAUGGAAAGCAGGCUGCUGAGCUCUCUGUCCACAGCUUGUGUGGUCACUGCUGAGUUUGGGUGGCAUUUGGAAUGCACUGGGGGGGGCUGGCUUAUACCUGAGACUGUAGCUGUGCCCACACAUCCUUAGGGAACUUUGAAAUAGCAGAGAUAAUGUCAGCCCAGUUACCAUAUGCUUUCAGUCUGCCCGGGCAAUGAUUGUAUAAUAAUCCCUAACAGAAAACUGAAGACGAGAUUUCAAGUGGCUGCCAGAAAACAGUUUUUCACUUAGAGUGGCAACUCUGAAUAAGGAAGCAUCUGGCACAUUUGAUCAGACAAAGAAAAUUAGGUCACUCAGAAAAAUAUUUGAUGUUCUUCCUGAGGAACAUAAUGCUAAAAAUGCCUCUAUCUACAAUGGCAGUAUUCUCUUCUUCAGCACUGUUUCUCAUAUUAUUAUGUUUUGUGUUGUUCUGAGUGACUACACUAUAUUUAGUAUCUGUUAAAUAGCAGAAUAUAGAUUAUGUAACUUAUUAUUUUCCUCCUGCCAGUAAUUGGAGUUUAAAAGCAAAGAGGGUUUUGUUGGACGUGUUCUUUUUUUUAAAGGAUUCAAGGACUGUUGGAUGCUUCUAUACGGUUUUUAAAGAAUCACAUUUUGAAUGAAAAAGAAGGUAAAUGAUCUUCUGCCUCUUGCCUUUUUUCUCUUAGCUUUAAGCACAUCUCACUUAUCUGUGAGUCCUGGACAGUCAGCAGAACAGUGCUUCACCUCAAGGGUCCCACAAGCAGUGGGGGAAGCUACUACACAGCUCCUUGUUGGAGCGGGGGGAAAGGGGCUGCAGGAUGAUCCUACUGUGUGUGAAUAUGCAGGAGGAAUGGCUCAGUAAGGCACAGAGUAAUAUUUCAGCUGAAUAUUUUCCUCCUGGGGACCAAGUACUCAGUCUGUCCCAGGGAAGGGCCUUCCUGAGAUACAGGAUGUUGGCUAGUUUGGAUGGAGCCCUGCGCAGCCUGUUCUAGUGGGUGGCAGCUGUGCUCGUGGCAGGGGAUUGAAACUCAGUGAUCUUUAAAGUCCCAUCCAACCUAAGCCGUUCUGUGAUUGAUUCUGUGAUUCUGUGUUCAGAUCAACUGGGGGGAAUGAGUACUGGUGUUAAAAGCACUGAGUUGCCAACCUCAUGUGUGGCUUGCAGUCUGACUUCUCAUGGAAAAAACACGUAUCUCCAGCAAUUUUUCUCCAUUUAGUUUACUUCCAAGAAUGUCUCCUCAAAAGAAGAAACCCAGAGAUAUUUUUUCAAGGAAAAAGUGCGGUUAAUUAAUCUCAAUUUUUCCAGCUUCCUAAAACCAGGAAUGGAAGCAGUGACCACAGAUUUUUCAGACCCUACAGACAAACUCCAGUCUGAUUUAAUGUCGAAGAACAUCACUAUUCCUACAUUAAUCUUUCCAGCUGGUAAAUGAAUCAGUUUUUGUGGCAUUUUCAUUUGAUCAUGAAGACUUCAGGUAACUGAAAAGGAGCUCCAAAGCUGCUAUCCUUCUCAUAUUUAUUACAGUAUGGCACAAUGACUGGGAUAGUUACUACAAGCCUAUGACUCUUCAGCUACUAUAUAAAGAACUGAAGUACUUGCAUAAUAGAUAUAAAAAGUGGACAUGAUUUUCAAAAUAGUUUACGCACAGAAAUGGAUGUGUCCUCGCUCCCUGGUAUAUUUAGUGUUGUGAAUUUUAUCAGCAGAUAAAAGAAACGUUUGUAAAGCAAAGAACUUACCCAAGGUCAAGGAGUAAAUUAAAACAAAUGGUGAAUUAACCUUCAGGAGAUUUCUGGCACUUAAUCAUAAACUUAGUUCAUUGGUCCUGCCUCUUCCAGAUUCUCUCAUUCAGCCUUUAAUUUUGUGCAAAGGCUCUACUGCCCUCAUAAAUCAUCAGUGAAAAAAUGUUGAGAGGCUUCCUUACUUCAACAGCCUCAAAAUAGAGUUCUAGCUUGAAAUGAUACUUCUGGGAGUGCGCUAGUACAAAGAACCCAGCAUAAGAUGAGGCUGAACAAAACAUUGUCUCAGCUUCUCAGCACUCAUCCCAGUCUGGAAGAGCUUCUUCACCGUGUGCUUGUUUUCCUUCUUUCAGACUAAUUGUUUUAUUCAAGCCAAUCCUAAUUCAGAUGAGUUAAUGUACUUUCUCCUUCUACACAUAAAGGUGCAUAGGCAGGUAAAUACCUGCUUGCGUUUGUCCGUUGUGGAGUCAGGUCUAGUUAGCACCAGAGAGGGUUUGUCAGAAUGGGUACAUCCAUGUGAUGACAAGAUCUCACACCAUAACCACAGCUUUUUACCUGGAAGAAGUGCUUUUUGGUUCUGAUCACAUAUCUGGUACAAACUCUAUUGGCAAAAGCACAUUUUUGCCUCUGGGAGCUGUAAAAUGACUAGGAGUUUUACUGAUAUUUGUUUUUAAUCAGAAGAAUGUCUUGAACCUGCACUUUAUACCAAUGGCCAUUAAUACUGUAGCUUUGGACAGAAUCCUAGUGUUUUGCUACAGCUCCCAGAGAAUACAGCACCAAAAGAAAAUGAAUUUUAUUCCUUAUUCGUUGUUCCUUUACCAAAAACAACGAUAGCAACAACAAACCAUUUCUUUUGUAGCACAGAAAUAUUUUAUUUCUUUCUUCUAUUCACCAGAAACCCUGCAAAAAUGCAAGUCCAGGGAGCAGAUGUCAGCUAAUCCCAAAGUCUGUGCUAGGAACAUGAUGGUAACUCUUAGGGAGUUCAACAGAAUCUAAAUGUCUCUCUGGUUUUGUACAAGAUUAUGCUCCCAGCAGAUAAGCCCCUGCAUUUUAACUUGGAAGCUCGAAAGGGAUAAAUAACAUCUCUGAAGCCAGCCAAGCAACAAACAGAAUUUCUUAGUACAAUACAAUCUUGUUAUGGGAGUUUUCUUUGGCACACGUUUCCCAUCAGGCAUUAUUAUGCUGCUGUGUACAUGGGGCUUAUCUCUAAGCAAAGGUGGUAAUACUCAGCCAUUGAUACCCUGCAACUCAUUGAAGUUUUAAGAUGGAUGAGGAAGGAUUAGGUGAGCCAUUUGAUACAUAGCUGAUACUUACUAUAAAAGUUUAAGGAUCUGACAUCACUAUUUGUAAUAAAUGUUCUUGCUGUGCUAGAGUGUGUAUGUGGCAGGUGGGGAGAGGUAGAGGUGUCAUGUAGGUAAGCAAGAGAACUCUAAAUCACUCAUAAUCAAUAAUUCACUGUGCAGAAAAAAAAAGGUAACAGACAACGUCAGCUGAUGGAAUACUGCUUUGGUUACAUUUUCUUUUGUGUCCCUGAUGAAAGGUUUUUAACUCUGUCUUAACAGAGAGAUUUGCUUUCUGUAGGGACAUUCAGCUCCAGGCAAGAUAGAAGGAUGAUCCCAAACCCAGUAACUGGGUCAAGUCUAAUUAUCAUAGCUAAUUUGCACAUUUCAUUUAUGGUAAAGGAAAUUUUGUCUUCAGGUAGGUGAAUCCAAUUUGGAUUAUCAAAGACAGACUGAAAUAGCUUCUAAACAGAAGGUAGAAGGUCUUUUGCUAGACUCUAUGUCUGAAAUAUGAAGGCAGUAUUAAAACCCCCAUUCUGAACCAAAUUCAACAUAAAAUUAAACAAACUUUCACAAGCAAUGACACUAAUUUCCAGUGUCCAAAACUGAUAGUUCCCCUCUUGUCAGAAAUGCCAAAAAGUCAACAUAUCUCUAAACCCUCAGGAAAAGAAUUGGAAUUUCCUCCUCCUUUUUUGUGCAGAACAGUAACACAAGGUAUUUUCUUACAAAUUUAACAACUUACUCUACUUAGAUAUAUCACCUUGGGUUAGGGCAAGCUUAAAAUGUCAACAGUAAGUUAUUUUGACUCAUAAUCUGGUUUAUUACAGAUAUUCAAAGCAUUUCGGUAUGUUCUACUCUGAAAUAAAAGUCCAAGUAGUAUCACCAGUACUGAACAUCCUGUGUCAAUGGCAAAAAAAAAUUAGCUAUCAUCAUCCGUAAAUGGGACCGAUAAACUAAUCCAACCUUGGAGAACAUUAUUGGUUUUCUUGAUUCAGCAUUUCCAUUUGGAAAACAGCUUUGCUGGAUUUUAAAAGAUGUUUUUCAUCACCUGAAGCUGGAGACGGAAUGGCUAUUCAUCAGUGAAUUUUUUGCACUCUCUUUACGUUGCAUUAAAAGCAGCCCAGACAUCUGAAAAAGCAACAGAAACUCUCAUGAAGAAAAUGAAUUUAAACUUUUUUUUUUUUGAUACAGUAGAAAGCUUUUUUUUUGUUUUUCUUUAAUAAUCAAUUUCUUCAAUAUACUUUCCUAGAGUACAGGUUUGUUCCCAGUCUGUCUUCUCUGUCUUCCUGCUUGGAUAACUACUAAACUCAAAGCCCCUCAUAAAAAUGGACACAGCUGUAGAGUGGAAAUUUUAAACAUUUUGGUAUUUAGUAUCAUCAAAUAGAUUUACAAAAAUAAAUAAAUAAAUAAAUAAAAUCCAGUGCUCUUGGAUAAGCAAAA